UCUGAAGUUAGAUCAUAAGGAGGUUGAAGUUUCCACCUGGGUUUCUUAGAACACUCCUUCUGUGAUACUGGGACCCACCAUACCGGAGAAGCCACAGAUUUGCAUCCUGUGUGAGAGCAUCCUCACACCCCAUCUUUCCAGACAUUUCUGCCAAAGUGUCCAACACAUGAGUGAAGCCAGCGUGGACCUCCAUAGCAGCCCUCCAUCCAGCCCACCGAUUCACCUAAGUUGUUAUUUGGAGUACGUGGGCUGUAUGUUUUCUCUCUAACCUUUCUGUUGUAAAUUUUUCCAAGAAAGGAAACCAAAUAGAAUCUUGGAGAAGAUGUUCCCAGUUGGGAUGUCUUACUAACGGAAGUUGAUCCAAAAUGCACAGGGGAUGGACUGUGCUGGGUGCUGUGUCUCACCAACCAGAUUUUUACUUCUCUUGGAAAUAUGAGUGUUGAGAAGUCACGCGUGAGCCGUUUUCUGGGAAUUUCCCUGAGAUAAAAAGUACCGCCUCCUUCAAGUUUCAGACGCCUGCUCAGUGGUCACAUAUCUAAUGAUGGUGGACGCAGGAGUGUGAAGGUAGAUUGUAAAGUAGCUCUGAACCAAAGUUGAGCCACAUUCGGUCACUCGAGUAUAUUCAUCAUCUCUCUGAAUGACAACUUUAGAAAUCUUCUUCCUAUCUCUAUCAAGUUCACCGUCCCUAUGUCGAAGAACACAGUGAAAAGUAUAAAGAGAAAAGGUAAUGAAGGUAGAAUAGCAGCGGGGGCACCGGCGUGAUGAUGUUAAGCUGUAAGAUCAUCAAUGGAAACAUGUAUCACUGCAUCUAACAGUAUAUUGCCACUGUAGUAUGUUUCCUGAGACUUCGUCCUGUCUGCUCAUGAGAAAUAACAAGCCCUGGAGAGUCACUGUGCCAAGUACCACGAAGACACAGAGGGAGCAGACCUGGCCCCAACCCACAGUUGGUAAGCAGGCAGAGCUGAGCUCAGACAUGAUUAGGCAAACUCCAGACAAUGGAGACCUGUGAGUAAAACACAAAAGUAUUGUCAUAAACCACUAAGACUCCAAGGUUGCCACACAGCAAUAACUAAUACAUGGACUCUUGACCUUUUGUUGAAUAUCCACAAUACAAAUCCACAAUAAAAUAGGCAAGUUUAUAACAAAUCAUUAUGUACAAUUUUCAUUAUUCCUAUAUGUGAAUAUGUAUAUAUAUACACACACAUAUAUAUACAUAUAUAUACACAUAUAUAUGGAUAGUGCUUUAAGUUAUUCUUUCCUUAAAUAUCUUUAUUGU
RNAcentral lists this long non-coding RNA (1276 nucleotides) under Pan paniscus (pygmy chimpanzee). RNAcentral describes it as "lncRNA (ENSPPAG00000045235.1)". The record is from RNAcentral. Lineage: Eukaryota; Metazoa; Chordata; Mammalia; Primates; Hominidae.